Molecule: ribosomal RNA, 224 nt
Filed under: uncultured bacterium
Lineage: Bacteria
Description: partial 16S ribosomal RNA
Rfam family: Bacterial small subunit ribosomal RNA
Source: RNAcentral
GAAAGCCAACCUCAGUUCGGAUUGUAGGCUGCAACUCGCCUACAUGAAGUUGGAAUCGCUAGUAAUCGCGAAUCAGAAUGUCGCGGUGAAUACGUUCCCGGGUCUUGUACACACCGCCCGUCACACCACGAGAGUUUACAACACCCGAAGUCAGUGGCCUAACCGCAAGGAGGGAGCUGCCUAAGGUGGGGUAGAUGAUUGGGGUGAAGUCGUAACAAGGUACC